AUGUUUUUACCAUUAUAUCUGUAUCCAAUAUGUGGUAAGGACUCAAUUAAAAUUGACUUCAUGCACAGGAGUUCACCAUGCACAGGAGUUCACCAUGCACAGGAGUUUACCAUGCACGGGAGUUCACCACUCACGGGAGUUCACCACGCACUGGAGUUCACCACGCUCAAGAGUUCACCACGCACAGGAGUUCACCACGCACAGGAGUUCACCACGCACAGGAGUUCACCACGCACUGGAGAUCACCAUGCACUGGAGAUCACCAUGCACGGGAGUUCACCACGCAUGGGAGUUCACCACGCACUGGAGUUCACCACGCUCAAGAGUUCACCACGCACAGGAGUUCACCACCCACAGGAGUUCACCACGCACAGGAGUUCACCACGCUCAAGAGUUCACCACGCACAGGAGUUCACCACGCACAGGAGUUCACCACGCACAGGAGUUCACCACGCACAGGAGUUCACCACGCACAGGAGUUCACCAUGCACUGGAGAUCACCAUGCACGGGAGUUCACCACGCAUGGGAGUUCACCACGCACUGGAGUUCACCACGCUCAAGAGUUCACCACGCACAGGAGUUCACCACCCACAGGAGUUCACCACGCACAGGAGUUCACCACGCACUGGAGUUCACCACGCACUGGAGAUCACCAUGCACAGGAGUUCACCAUGCACAGGAGUUCACCAUGCACUGGAGUUCACCAUGCACUGAAAUUCACCACGCACAGGAGUUCACCAUGCACUGGAGAUCACCAUGCACUGGAGUUCACCAUGCACUGGAGUUCACCAUGCACUGGAGUUCACCAUGCACUGGAGUUCACCAUGCACUGGAGUUCACCACGCACUGGAGUUCACCACGCUCAAGAGUUCACCACGCACAGGAGUUCACCACGCACAGGAGUUUACCACGCACAGGAGUUUACCACGCACAGGAGUUCACCAUGCACAGGAGUUCACCACGCACAGGAGUUCACCAUUAGUAAACUAGCAGCCAAUGGUCUUACAUGGUCAUUACUUCGCUAUCCACUAUUCUCCACAGCAUGGAUGAAACCCGUGAACUCCAUGAAUGAGUUUAUUGAAUAUUUCAGUGAUUGUAUCUAUGCAUCACGAAUGGAACCCUAUUCUCUAUAUAGUACACUACUACACUACACCAGAGCCCUAUGA
This 1167-nucleotide long non-coding RNA is filed under the name Oncorhynchus mykiss (rainbow trout). RNAcentral describes it as "lncRNA (ENSOMYG00000049974.1)". Lineage: Eukaryota; Metazoa; Chordata; Actinopteri; Salmoniformes; Salmonidae. The record is from RNAcentral.